CCAGAUUUUUUCUCUUUCUUUUGCAGCUUUUCUGCCCCAACUUGUUUGGGUUCAACUCGAGGCUCGAUGUCGGUAAAUGGAUUAUUUAAAACCUCUGUUUUAACAAUUUUUUGCGGAUACAAUGGACGAUCGUUCUGGAAUGAAUAUCGUAUUUUAAAAAUUUAGGAAAAUCGUCAAAAUGAAUGUCACAUUUGGAGUUGCUGCCAGUGUGAAAAAAAACUGAGAACCGUUAUCAUCUUUUCCUGCAUUCGCCAUUGCAAGCAAGCCUCUCCGACAAAAACGUAAUCUGCUGUGAAACUCAUCCUGUAAUGAAUAAAGAAAAUUCUUCAACUUGUAUGCAAAUAAUGAUACAAUUGAAGACGACGUUUAAAAUAGUGCCAUACCUUGAACGGGCCAUCGUAUAUACUCUCGCCACCCUCCCCAGUCCCC
RNAcentral lists this long non-coding RNA (429 nucleotides) under Neodiprion pinetum (white pine sawfly). RNAcentral's name for it is "uncharacterized LOC124219982". Lineage: Eukaryota; Metazoa; Arthropoda; Insecta; Hymenoptera; Diprionidae. The record is from RNAcentral.